GACGAACGCUGGCGGCGUGCUUAACACAUGCAAGUCGAACGGAAAGGCGCCUUUGGGGGUACUCGAGUGGCGAACGGGGGCGUAACACGUGAGUAACCUGCCCUUGACUUCGGGACAACUUUAGGAAACUGGGGCUAAUACCGGUUAGGAAUCCUUUCUGCAUGGUGGGGGUUGGAAAGCCUCGGCGGUUUUGGAUGGACUCGCGGCUUAUCUGCUUGUUGGUGGGGUAGUGGCUUACCAAGGCUUUGACGGGUAGCCGGCCUGAGAGGGCGACCGGCCACAUUGGGACUGAGAUACGGCGCAGACUCCUACGGGAGGCAGCAGUGGGGAAUAUUGCACAAUGGGCGGAAGCCUGAUGCAGCAACGCCGCGUGCGGGAUAACGGCCUUCGGGUUGUGAACCACUUUCAGCAGGAGUGAAGCUGUUGUGACGGUACCUGCAGAAGAAGCACCGGCUAACUACGUG
RNAcentral lists this ribosomal RNA (464 nucleotides) under uncultured bacterium. RNAcentral describes it as "partial 16S ribosomal RNA". It matches the Rfam family "Bacterial small subunit ribosomal RNA", at positions 28 to 507 of the family's 1533-position model. The record is from RNAcentral.